ACUAAGGUUCCGCCAAUCAUAUAUUUAUUGGACAACAUUCAAAGAAUUUGGAAAGUUUGGGCAUGAAACUUUAUCUGUUGAACUUGAUUAGGGAAGACUAUAGGAAAUACGAUGGGAGAUGAAAGCAUAUUGUACCUAUCAUAAUUUACCCGUACAUAAAGUAAGGUUAGCUGAAUUACCUCGGAAUUAAAAUAAGGAUAUUCAGAGAGUUAUAGCAAACCUUCAACUUGAGAUUAAGAAAAUGCAUAAUCAUCUGGAACAAUAUCACACGCACAUUAAUCCAUUUCAAAUUAUAUGAAAUAGUGAGGGUGUGCAAGAUCCUGCUGCAAUAGUUAAUUCAGAACCUGAGAUACUAGAUUUUAGAGAUAUUAUUGACGAUAAUGACUUUGUUAUAUGCCUUGCUCACUGUUUACCCCCGUGCUAUUAGUGAAAAA
RNAcentral lists this unclassified non-coding RNA (434 nucleotides) under Hevea brasiliensis (rubber tree). The record is from RNAcentral. Lineage: Eukaryota; Viridiplantae; Streptophyta; Magnoliopsida; Malpighiales; Euphorbiaceae.